RNAcentral lists this ribosomal RNA (1117 nucleotides) under uncultured bacterium. RNAcentral's name for it is "bacterial SSU rRNA". It matches the Rfam family "Bacterial small subunit ribosomal RNA", at positions 8 to 1193 of the family's 1533-position model. The record is from RNAcentral.
AGAGUUUGAUCCUGGCUCAGGAUGAACGCUGGCGGCGUGCUUUAUGCAUGCAAGUCGAACGGUCCCGAUUUAUCGGGACAGUGGCGGAUGGGUGAGUAACGCGUAAGUAACCUGCCCUAAAGUGGGGGAUAACCCUGGGAAACUGGGGCUAAUACCGCAUGUGGUGGUAGGGUGAUGCUCUAUCACUAAAGCCUUCGGGCGCUUAAGGAGGGGCUUGCGUCCGAUUAGCUAGUUGGUAGGGUAAUGGCCUACCAAGGCGAUGAUCGGUAGCUAGUCUGAGAGGACGGUCAGCCACACUGGGACUGAGACACGGCCCAGACUCCUACGGGAGGCAGCAGCAAGGAAUUUUAUGCAAUGGGCGAAAGCCUGACAUAGCGACGCCGCGUGGGGGAUGAAGGCCUUCGGGUCGUAAACCCCUUUUCUCAGGGAAGAACAAUGACGGUACCUGAGGAAUAAGUCUCGGCUAACUACGUGCCAGCAGCCGCGGUAAGACGUAGGAGGCGAGCGUUAUCCGGAUUUACUGGGCGUAAAGAGGGCGUAGGCGGCCUUUCAAGUCGGAUGUGAAAUCUCCCGGCUUAACUGGGAGGGGUCAUUCGAAACUGUUGGGCUGGAGGACAGCAGAGGGAAGCGGAAUUCCCGGUGUAGUGGUGAAAUGCGUAGAUAUCGGGAGGAACACCAGUGGCGAAGGCGGCUUUCUGGGCUGUUUCUGACGUUGAGGCCCUAAAGCGUGGGGAGCGAACAGGAUUAGAUACCCUGGUAGUCCAUGCUGUAAACUAUGGACACUAGGUAUGGGGAGUAUCGACCCUCUCUGUGCCGAAGCUAACGCGUUAAGUGUCCCGCCUGGGGACUACGGCCGCAAGGCUAAAACUCAAAGGAAUUGACGGGGGCCCGCACAGCAGCGGAGCGUGUGUUCAUUCGAUGCAAGCGAAGAACCUUACCAAGGCUUGACAUGCACCGAUGCCCAAGAAUUGGGAGGUCCUUCGGGACCGGUGCACAGAUGCUGCAUGCUGUCGUCAGCUCGUGAGGAGUGUUGGGUAAGUCCCGCACGAGCGCACCCUGUGCAGUUGUAUUUUUCUGGCCAACUGCUCGCAACGGAGAGGUGGGAUGACUCAGUCAG